Molecule: long non-coding RNA, 1042 nt
Organism: Malania oleifera
Lineage: Eukaryota; Viridiplantae; Streptophyta; Magnoliopsida; Santalales; Ximeniaceae
Exons: 2
Source: RefSeq, a predicted model, not a curated record
GUAUUCAUCGAAGGAAUGGGAUAGAAAACCAGCAGACUCCUUCACAUCAACUUCUGGGAUUUCAUCCUGGUCAAGAGGUUUCUUGUUCCCUAAAACAAACAAUGGGUUUAGCCAAGAGAAGGUAAUGAGCUGGAGAAGAGAAGCUUUUCCAUAUAAGGAUUCCAUUUUGCCUUCUGAAUGCUGUUCAGUUUUGCUGUGGACAAGUGGCUCAGUAAACCCAUUUGGCAUAACGGGAACUAUACCUGUCUUCCCUCGAAUUGAAAUUCCAAACAGGCAGGUGGAUGCAAGAAAACCAAGGAGGUCUGCAUAAUCCUGCAUCAUAAUGGUGCCUUGCUUCAUUAUAAUAUUUUGGGUAUCAAGGGCUGUCCUGAUAAGUGACAGCCAGAAGCUGCAAAACCACCAGGAUCUCAGAAUCCAAGGGAACUUGAUGUACUCUUCAUUUAGAAUUUUGUACAUAGCAAUCAAUGUAAUUGCCCAUGACAUAAUUUGCAUUAUCUCUGAUGAAAAAACUGAGACUUUGGAACUGCAUUGGGUCUCUCUUUGGUUUCCAUUUACCACCAUGAGUAGCAUUAGGAAAUGACACCCCAGUAGUAGAGUGGAGCAAACUAUGCAGGCUUUAGUGAUUUUAUGCUUCUUUUGAAGAAAUGGAAUAAUAAGAUUCCCAGGAACCCAAGGUGCACAACUAUGCUGAUGUUCUCCCACAAGCAAGAUGAGCUUAGCUGAAGCCAUGUUGUCUGGAAAUGAAGAAGCUGAUCUGCGACAUGUUUCAAAACUGUGAGGACAUGUCUUGAAGAGAUGAACUAAAUUUCAUUCUAGUGGUAUUCUAUCGGUUAUACUUGCAUUGUGUUUGAGUGCUUGGAAUUUGAAUCUUAAAUUUAAAUUUGUGUUGAAUUCAAUGAAACUCAAGUUUCGUCAAUAUAAUUUUGUAUUUAGUGUAGACCAAAUCUGUACAAUUUCAAAUCCAAGAUUUGAUAUAUUUGUUCCCAAACACAGGCUUAAUCUAUUUUCCGUUGUUGGGGGUUUUGGGUCCCCUACCUCUUUG